GCGGAAGUGACUGCGCCUCGGGCCGCCUUGGUUACCGCGUUCUCCGCCCCUCGAUACGUCAUCGCUCUGAGCCGGCGAUCCGCUGCCCGCGCGGGCGCUGCCCGAGAGCGCGGGUCCCGGUUGCCGCCCCCUCAGGAGCCACCAUGUUGGUGAUACCCCCCGGACUGAGCGAGGAGGAGGAGGCUCUGCAGAAGAAAUUCAACAAACUGAAGAAAAAGAAAAAGGCAUUGCUGGCUCUGAAGAAGCAAAGCAGCAGCAGCACAGCCAGCCAGGGUGGUGUCAAACGCUCACUGUCAGAGCAGCCUGUGGUGGACACAGCCACGGCAACAGAGCAGGCAAAGCAGCUGGUGAAGUCAGGAGCCAUCAGUGCCAUCAAGGCCGAGACCAAGAACUCGGGCUUCAAACGCUCUCGAACCCUAGAGGGGAAGUUAAAGGAUCCUGCGAAGGGGCCAGUCCCCACUUUCCAGCCGUUCCAGAGAAGCAUAUCUGCUGACGAUGAUCUGCAAGAGUCGUCCAGACGUCCUCAAAGGAAAUCUCUGUAUGAGAGCUUUGUGUCUUCCAGUGAUCGGCUUCGGGAACUGGGGCCAGAUGGGGAUGAAGCAGAGGGCCAAGGGGCUGCUGACGGCCCCCCUCGAAGCUUUGACUGGAGCUAUGAAGAACGUGGUGGCACCCGCUCCUCAGUCUCCCCUCCCCGAAGCCGCAGCCGGGACCGCAGUCGUGAGCGGAACCGGGACAGAGACCGAGAUCGGGAACGGGAUCGAGACAGAGAUCGGGAACGGGACAGAGAUCAAGACCGGGAGCGGGACCGGGAUCGAGACAGGGACCGGGACCGAGAUCGGGAGGGCCCUUUCCGCAGGUCAGACUCAUUCCCUGAACGCCGGGCCCCUCGGAAGGGGAACACUCUCUAUGUGUAUGGAGAAGACAUGACGCCCACCCUCCUCCGUGGGGCCUUCUCUCCCUUUGGAAAUAUCAUUGACCUCUCCAUGGACCCACCCAGAAACUGUGCCUUCGUCACCUAUGAAAAGAUGGAGUCAGCAGAUCAGGCCGUUGCUGAGCUCAACGGGACCCAGGUGGAGUCUGUGCAGCUGAAAGUCAGCAUUGCCCGCAAGCAGCCCAUGCUGGACGCCGCCACCGGCAAGUCUGUCUGGGGCUCCCUUGUAUCCGCAUGUGCCAAGGUAACAGCAGACCGCUCCUUGCUGCAGUGAUGGAGUGGCAGCCGCUGGCCUGAGGGGGCUAAAUGGAGACAGGCCACCCUGGCCACCAGGGGGCAGCAUGGAAACAGCUUCCAAGAGCCAGCGGCUGGGAGUGAGCUGUCCAGAACAGCCCUAAGGGUUGCCACCGGGACAAGAGGACCCAGAUUGUCUACAGUGACGACGUCUACAAGGAAAACCUUGUGGAUGGCUUCUAGGAAGUGGAGCUGGAUUCUGUGCCUCAUCUGCCCCAACGCGGGUCUCAGUAAAACACUGAGGUGGAAGCUCACACAUCUCCCUAAGCCUCUGGUUUUUCAGCACUUGGGGUUGGGGUUGAGCCUUUAAAAACGGCUGUUAGAUUUGACCUCAUUUGUAACCACAUGGCUAGUGCACAUUCCCCGCCCUCACCCCAAAAGGAUCUUAACACAGGUACUGUC
Molecule: RNA transcript, 1627 nt
Organism: Rhinolophus ferrumequinum (greater horseshoe bat)
Lineage: Eukaryota; Metazoa; Chordata; Mammalia; Chiroptera; Rhinolophidae
Gene: NELFE
Gene name: negative elongation factor complex member E
Exons: 12
Source: RefSeq, a predicted model, not a curated record